CCUACGGGAGGCAGCAGUGAGGAAUAUUGGUCAAUGGCCGGAAGGCUGAACCAGCCAUGCCGCGUGAAGGUCAGUGCCCUAUGGGCGUUAAACUUCUUUUGUGCGGGAGCAAUAAUGGUCACGUGUGGCCAGACGAGAGUACCGUACGAAUAAGCCUCGGCUAACUCCGUGCCAGCAGCCGCGGUAAUACGGGGGAUGCAAGCGUUAUCCGGAUUUAUUGGGUUUAAAGGGUGCGUAGGCUGUGAGGUAAGUCAGCGGUGAAAUGCCCCCGCUCAACGGGGUGAAGUGCCAUUGAUACUGCCUGGCUGGAAUGCGGAUGCCGUGGGAGGAAUGUGUGGUGUAGCGGUGAAAUGCAUAGAUAUCACACAGAACACCGAUUGCGAAGGCAUCUCACGAAUCCGCGAUUGACGCUGAUGCACGAAAGCGUGGGUAUCAAACAGGAUUAGAUACCCUUGUAGUC
This 460-nucleotide ribosomal RNA is filed under the name uncultured bacterium. RNAcentral describes it as "partial 16S ribosomal RNA". It matches the Rfam family "Bacterial small subunit ribosomal RNA", at positions 338 to 795 of the family's 1533-position model. The record is from RNAcentral.